GAUGAACGCUGGCGGCGUGCCUAAUACAUGCAAGUCGAGCGAACAGACGAGGAGCUUGCUCCUCUGACGUUAGCGGCGGACGGGUGAGUAACACGUGGAUAACCUACCUAUAAGACUGGGAUAACUUCGGGAAACCGGAGCUAAUACCGGAUAAUAUAUUGAACCGCAUGGUUCAAUAGUGAAAGACGGUUUUGCUGUCACUUAUAGAUGGAUCCGCGCCGCAUUAGCUAGUUGGUAAGGUAACGGCUUACCAAGGCAACGAUGCGUAGCCGACCUGAGAGGGUGAUCGGCCACACUGGAACUGAGACACGGUCCAGACUCCUACGGGAGGCAGCAGUAGGGAAUCUUCCGCAAUGGGCGAAAGCCUGACGGAGCAACGCCGCGUGAGUGAUGAGGGUCUUCGGAUCGUAAAACUCUGUUAUUAGGGAAGAACAAAUGUAUAAGUAACUAUGCACGUCUUGACGGUACCUAAUCAGAAAGCCACGGCUAACUACGUG
Molecule: ribosomal RNA, 497 nt
Filed under: uncultured bacterium
Lineage: Bacteria
Description: partial 16S ribosomal RNA
Rfam family: Bacterial small subunit ribosomal RNA
Source: RNAcentral